UACGUAGGGUGCGAGCGUUAAUCGGAAUUAUUGGGCGUAAAGCGGGCGCAGGCGGUGAGCUGUGUCCGAUGUGAAAGCCCCGGGCUCAACCUGGGAAUGGCAGUGGAUACUGGACAGCUAGAGUGCGGUAGAGGGUAGUGGAAUUCCCGGUGUAGCAGUGAAAUGCGUAGAGAUCGGGAGGAACACCAGUGGCGAAGGCGGCUACCUGGACCAGCACUGACACUGAAGCACGAAAGCGUGGGGAGCAAACAGG
RNAcentral lists this ribosomal RNA (253 nucleotides) under uncultured bacterium. RNAcentral describes it as "partial 16S ribosomal RNA". It matches the Rfam family "Bacterial small subunit ribosomal RNA", at positions 524 to 776 of the family's 1533-position model. The record is from RNAcentral.